Molecule: ribosomal RNA, 753 nt
Filed under: Triticum aestivum (bread wheat)
Lineage: Eukaryota; Viridiplantae; Streptophyta; Magnoliopsida; Poales; Poaceae
Description: partial small subunit ribosomal RNA
Source: RNAcentral
AUGGAAAUCAAUGAAAAAAGGGGAUGGCCGGGGAUGCUAGGUAGUCUUGAUUGCAUGCAUUGGACAUGGAAAAAUUGCCCAAAGGCAUGGCACGGCAUGUAUUGCGGUAAAAGCCGUGAUGCUACCAUUGUGCUUGAGGCCGUAGCAUCGGAGGACACAUGGAUUUGGCAUGCAUUCUUUGGGUUGCCGGGAACACUCAAUGAUAUCAAUGUCCUCAAUAGAUCUCCUUUGUUCAAAAGAUUAAUUUCUGGGGAUGCUCCAGCUUGCAACUACAAAAUCAUGGACAAUGAGUACUCAAUGGGAUACUAUCUCACCGAUGGCAUCUAUCCCGAAUGGGCAACUCUUGUGAAGUCCAUCAAGGAGAAAAAUGGGGUGCCCUUAACAAGAAAAGAGGCUCAUUUCACCAAGGCACAAGAGGCAGCCCGCAAGGAUAUUGAGAGAGCUUUCGGUGUUUUGCAAGCAAGGUUUGCCAUAGUUCGGGGUCCAGCUCGGUUUUGGGACAAAAAAACCUUGGUGAACAUCAUGAAAUGUUGUGUGAUUCUACACAACAUGAUCCUAGAGGAUGAGAGAGGGUUAAACCUCCCUUGUUUCUAUGACAAUGUUGGUACCCGUGUGCAACCGGAAAGAAACCCUUCUCGCAUACAUGCUUUUCUUCAAGCACAUCGUGAGAUUGAGGAUGCAACCACUCAUGGUCGGCUCCGGGAUGAUCUAGUAGAGCACCACUGGCAGUUGGAUGGGCGGCGCAUUGUUUUA